CCAAUAGCGUAUAUUAAAGUUGUUGCAGUUAAAAAGCUCGUAGUUGAAUUUCGGGAUCGACGGGUCGGUCGCGCCUCUGGUGUGUACUGGCCCUGUCGGUUUCUCCCUUCUGACGAACCACGAUGUCAUUAAUUUGGUGUCGUGGGAAAUCAGGACUGUUACUUUGAAAAAAUUAGAGUGUUUAAAGCAAGCAUUCGCUUGAAUACAUUAGCAUGGAAUA
This 220-nucleotide ribosomal RNA is filed under the name uncultured Glomus. RNAcentral describes it as "partial small subunit ribosomal RNA". It matches the Rfam family "Eukaryotic small subunit ribosomal RNA", at positions 591 to 816 of the family's 1831-position model. Lineage: Eukaryota; Fungi; Glomeromycota; Glomeromycetes; Glomerales; Glomeraceae. The record is from RNAcentral.